AUGCCUAUGUGGCAGCCGGAGAUGUACAACAACGGCGGAGGAGGUGGAGGGUAUGGAUGCAAAGUAAGGGAGAGAAGGUUGGAGUGGAAGGAAAUGGGAUCGAGAGGGGGGUUGGGUGGGCCGGGGGUAUCGAAGUCCUAUGUUUCGAGUAUCCGGACUCCUGCAAACUUCCCCAACUUUGUCUCUAAUUUGCGGGAGAAAUUGCGUCCGACUGCCCCGCGGACCUAUACAGGUCGGUGUUGGAUGGCUUCUGCGGUCCGUACAGCGCGGUCCGGACGGAUGCAGGCGGUUUGCGGGUCAGCUUUGAAGAUGCCCUUAGGUGAUGCUUCUUUCCUCGCCACGUGGAUUUUGAUGACUAACAAUCAUGCAUUUUGUAGUUUCAAGAUAGACCUUUCUCACAUCGUCGUGCUCAUUUACGACGGCUUUCGAUUUGGCAUGUUUCUUCAUACCGGAACACCUGCAAGGGUCACGACGGGAAGAAAGUUGCUCGUUGAGUCAUCCUGGCUAGUGUUAGGUCGCAGGAGGAGAUCCGAUUGGGCCCCAUGGGGCGCCAAUCCUCGACGAAUAAUGGUCCGCCGAUCUUAUGCGCCAACCUCUGAACCUCCAGCUCGCGCUCUCCUUUGCUGUACCUGGUGA
This 636-nucleotide ribosomal RNA is filed under the name Triticum aestivum (bread wheat). Its description in RNAcentral is "partial small subunit ribosomal RNA". Lineage: Eukaryota; Viridiplantae; Streptophyta; Magnoliopsida; Poales; Poaceae. The record is from RNAcentral.